GAUGAAGAACGCAGCGAAAUGCGAUAAGUAAUGUGAAUUGCAGAAUUCAGUGAAUCAUCGAAUCUUUGAACGCACAUUGCGCCCCCUGGUAUUCCGGGGGGCAUGCCUGUCCGAGCGUCAUUACAACCCUCAAGCUCAGCUUGGUGUUGGGCCCCGCCGCCCCGGCGGGCCCUAAAGUCAGUGGCGGUGCCGUCCGGCUCCGAGCGUAGUAAUUCUUCUCGCUCUGGAGGUCCGGUCGUGUGCUCGCCAGCAACCCCCAAUUUUUUUCAGGUUGAUCUCGGAUCAGGUAGGGAUACCCGCUGAACUUAAGCAUAUCAAUAAGCGGAGGA
Molecule: unclassified non-coding RNA, 329 nt
Filed under: soil metagenome
Description: partial contains 5.8S ribosomal RNA, internal transcribed spacer 2, and large subunit ribosomal RNA
Rfam family: 5.8S ribosomal RNA (bases 1-120)
Source: RNAcentral